AUCAAGUUGACGAGUCCCAAAUAGGACGAAACGUGAGUCGCAGAU
This 45-nucleotide non-coding RNA is filed under the name Schistosoma margrebowiei. The record is from RNAcentral. Lineage: Eukaryota; Metazoa; Platyhelminthes; Trematoda; Strigeidida; Schistosomatidae.